UGAGGAAUAUUGCACAAUGGGCGCAAGCCUGAUGCAGCAAUGCCGCGUGCGGGAGGACGUCCUUCGGGAUGUAAACCGCUUUUCUGAGGGAAGAGCACGGACGGUACCUCAGGAACAAGUCACGGCUAACUACGUGCCAGCAGCCGCGGUAAUACGUAGGUGGCGAACGUUAUCCGGAAUUACUGGGCGUAAAGGGUCCGCAGGCGGCGGGACAAGCCGGAUGUGAAAGCGCGCGGCUCAACUGCGCGAGGCCAUUCGGAACUGUCCGGCUGGAAUCUGACAGAGGUCGGUGGAAUUCCCGGUGUAGUGGUGGAAUGCGUAGAGAUCGGGAGGAACGCCAAAGGCGCAGGCAACCGGCUGGGUCAAGAUUGACGCUGAGGGACGAAAGCGUGGGGAGCGAACAGGAUUAGAUACCCCCGUAGUCC
Molecule: ribosomal RNA, 425 nt
Filed under: uncultured prokaryote
Description: bacterial SSU rRNA
Rfam family: Bacterial small subunit ribosomal RNA
Source: RNAcentral